This 5266-nucleotide long non-coding RNA is filed under the name Selaginella moellendorffii. RNAcentral's name for it is "long non-coding RNA (SMOE_LNC000056)". Lineage: Eukaryota; Viridiplantae; Streptophyta; Lycopodiopsida; Selaginellales; Selaginellaceae. The record is from RNAcentral.
ACCCUCAACUUUGCAUCCACCUAUGAUUUUAUCCUUACACUUAUUUAUAAAAACAAAAUAUUUGGAGCAUUGCCUUGAACGGCGAUCUAAAACUAAAACUUUCGAAAGAAGACCAGUUCGAUCCAGUCCGAGUGAAGAGGACCACAAUCUCUCUUAAGGGACCAACGGCCUCUCCUGUACGUGGAAGCAACACUCCGGACUUGGUUUUGGCGGUCGAAGAAGCUGUGAGGAGCAGGCAAAUCUUCAACGUGACGUACCUGCUAGAUCUGGCGAGUGCGAGCGAACCUAUGGACCUGCCACGAACAAAGGAAGCGCGCCUCCUCGGAUACAGUGUCUGGUUUCCGAGCUCCUCCUCGGCUCCGAUUUCGAUCUCGGUGCUCUCAUCGGCAAAGAACGGCACACCGUUCGUCAAAGUCUGCGUGAUGCUCUGGGAGAAGGUGUACGAGUUGUGGAAGGAUGCUCACUGGUGUGGUCUUGCUGCAUCUCUGAAGUCACGCACCAGACGUCUUACACAGUCACGAUCCGCUCCAGGGAAAACGGGGAAAACGGUACGUAAAAGACUGAGCCUGUGCGCCUCUGGUCGACUGAUUAGCUCACAUCCGUCGGUAUCCAGGGAACUGUGUAGGUGGUGAUCAGCAUUGAUCCCGUUCCAUGGAUGCAUCGACGGUGUCUUUGAUGGUGUGUUGGCUUUCAGGACAGAUAAAUCAUUCCCUGUUCCCAUGAAGCUAAAGGGUACGAAAUAGGCCUACCUUGGUGGUAAUAAGAAAUAGAAUAAAACGAUGCUGGAUCACAUCACAAGUUAUACAGAAAACACUCGUUACUCAUGGCUCCAUCUGUAGCAAGAUUGUAAGACUGGGAAAAUGUCCGAUAGAAAAAUAAGCUUACUGCCCAUAUUUAUCCUUCAUUUUCUCGGCGAUGCGAUCCGCAUUCUUGCUUGCUCUUCGGACGUCUUUCGCGGCCCUGAAAUAGCAACACCCCAUGAAUCAAUAGCCAAAGAAUACUCAAAGGAACCCAUACAAGUCGACACUCAAUCUUUGAAGAGCAAUAGAUCGCCGUUCAAAACUCUCCUGCGGUCCUUCCGAGUUUUUAAGCUGGCGAGCCAGGCUCCCGAAGAAGACCCCCAACACCUUCACAGAACGACAAUUUAGUUAGCCAAACUUUUAGCUAUACCACAUAGUUUGCAAACCUCGGCAACGACCAGGAAGUAAAACGCCCAUGAAACACGUCCGAUAAACGACUCCACCUACAUUCACAAUCACCUACAAUAAAAAGAUACGAUAAGCCCAAGCUCGUGAAUAACAUGUACCUCAUUCGCACUAAAGCGUUUAGAUCGAAAACUUCUCGCCACUUUCUCUCUCUGCGACAAGCGAGUGAAGCUGAGCCCAAAGUGAAAAGGUGAUGCGUACGUUCGAAAAUGAGGCCAACGAGUACACGAUGGAUCCAAGAGCAGCAAAACAAUUGAAGACGAUAUUUAUCCAGAAGCAAGGACCGACUGUCCUUCCUAUGCCUGAAGCACCAGCCACAAUCGUUACCCCUCCAAGAAUUAUAAGAAGCCUACGCAAAUAAAACAAGAAGUUAGAUUCCCAGAACAAAUAAUUACAUCACUGCAACUGACCACCCAGGCGAAAAGUUGGGACUCCCUCCUUGUAUGACCGGAACCAUUAUAACAAUCAAGCCUCCGCACACCUAGGUAGCUGAAGAAAUCAAUAAACGAGCCCCCAACAAAAGAAAACAAAUCCGUGUACCAGAAUGAAAAGAUGUAGCAGGUUCAGAGCCCAAUCUAUCGCCGUAAGCGUCUUCAUAUCUGAACAGAGAACUUAGUCUCGCAAAGAAAAUUUCGAAAGCGUACAGAACCUGAUCGGAUCCGAAAGGCUGUUUUCAUCUCCAAAAUUCUCCCCCGAACUUCCCCUGCCAUGUCAUUAGCUCAUACACGACACGCAGUAGUAUUAAAAACAUCCGACUUGUUGUCCGAGUGAGAAAAAAAAAGUCGGGCCUAAAGCUUCAACAAAUACAGCCCAGUUUACAAUUAGAAAAGCAGCUACAAUUAUAGUAAAAUAUACAAACAGCAAGUCUUAGCUCUGGUGCGCUCCAACUCACGACUGAGAUGCAACGUACGUCUGAUACGGGGAGCUGCGAGUGCCAGCCCCGUUACCACUCGUGGAACUAUUCCCUCCCUGCGCUCUGAAAGAAAGAGGUGGGAAGUCCUCUUCUUUCAUUUGGUAAGCCCUCUGGUUUUGCCUGAAGUAGCAAAACGAGUUUCAGUGGCCAGAAUAAUCGAUAAAACGUUUUGGUACCUUUGCUGGUCAUUCGGGGAGGACGGCUGUUGUCUAUCUUGACCCGCAGCCUGCUGCCCCUUAGAGCUCACACGAACGGCUCCAAGCUCAGAGCCCUGCACCGCCCCAAGCGUCCCAAACUCAAGCGGUUCGUUGGACGGGUAUACAACAAUCGACGUGUUCCCAUUGCCGUUCAUAUACACCUGAGAAUAAGCUUGCAGGGUUGCAGGGGGUUCCAAAAGUACGGUUGCAGGGGGUACGCGGCUCUACGUCCGAUUCCGCCGGCGCGCGGGCCUCGAGGCCACCUACACGGAGAUUUGCGAUGGAUUGUUCGUGGGGCGUGGCCAUUCCAGCGCGAUCACAUCCCUCCGGGCAGUCCCGCGGUCGUGGAUUGCACCAACGAGCUACCCAGGACGGUGGGAUUGGAGCUUCCCUAUGUGUGCAUCCCGGCCUGGGAUACCAGAUCGCCAUCGCCGGAGGGCAUCGAGCUAGCCGUGCGCUGGGCUCUCGUCAAGCGCUCCCAGAACCAUCCCAUUCUCAUCCACUGUGCCAAAGGUAGGCUUCCCCAUCACUCUUUUUUCUUUCUUUCUUCUUUUGCCAUAGCUAGGCCUAGUUGAAAAACAAUGUUUUGAUUGUCUUCUUUCAGCAUUCUUUCGAUUGGCAUUUUGUUCCUCUGCAUUGAUGAUCUUUCCCUCUUUCUUCCCCGGAUUUUUAUCGACGCGCAUUGAGCGUGCUUUAGUUUUCAUCUUGGCUGGCGGGGUGGGCCUUAGACGAUUUGGAUGCUUGUCGUUCGUGCACAGGUCAUGGGCGUAGUGUGGCUGUUACGUGCGCGCUGCUGGUGGCAUUGGGCGUGGUGGGCGACUGGAAGGAAGGCGAGAGCCUGAUCAAGAGACAUCGCCCACGGAUCCGUCUCAAUGCAGCGCAAAGGAAAUCUCUUCAAGAAUGGCGUAAGUCUCAAACAGAGAACCUCUUUACGUCUCUCUCGCUCUAUAGAUACCGGGGUUGAUUUUUAUUCUUGUGUUAUGUAUCAGAGCUUCGGCGGUAUUGAUAUGUUAGCAGAUGGUCUUCGUAUUUGUUGAUACUGAACCUUGAAACCGAGCUAAUGUGUUUUCUCCUCGUGAAAUAUACUUCUCUUAGUACUGAUUUUAGACAAGCUUUAUUAGAUAUUUGGGAUAUUUGUCACUUUGAUUCAUGAGGUAUUUUUCUAAGCUGGUUCAUGUGAAAUAUUUAUAUACUUUUCUUAGUAUUGAUUUUAGACAAGCUUUAUUAGACAUUUGUCUUGCUCACUUUGAUCUAGGAGGUAUUAUUCUAGAGCUGGUUCAACAGCCAUUACUUCUGGAUGCACCGUGCUCCCCAGCUUUGCAGGAAAUGGCCAAACGCAUGAAGCUCGAGAGCUCUUUGAUGCCAUUCCCGAAGAGAUGAAACCCCUGUUCUUGGGCAACCCUUUGGCUGAUAGAAAGGCUAGGCUCCAGAGGACUUAAUUUUCUUAAUUUAAUCGAAAGCUCCCAUGUGUUUCAAUGUGGUGCAAACUCUCCUCAGCCGCUAACUCUAGCUAAGGUGGCAAACUUCAGCAACAGCUAGUAGAAAAUUCACAGCUGUGAAGACUUCCCGUUUUUCUAUAUCGAACCUGUCUAUGUCUACUGUAACUUACGUCAUCUCGCAUAUAACUGAGGCAGACGUACCAUCUUACUACGAGCAUUUAAGCGGAGAUCAUAUCAUCCUCCCUAAAUAGCACUAUCUCUCCCAAUCUAAGCCCAAGUUACUCCUGUCCACAAUGGUUCACAUCCCAAAUCCAGAUUCCCCUGUUCUCAAGCUCCCCCGCUUCUUCUCUCUCAAAGCCGACAAUGGUAAGUACCUCAUGCUCAAGUCCGAUGGCACCCUUGCAUUCGAGUCCGACACCACCACCCGAUACACCACACACGAGGCGGUCUACAAUGCCAAUGAUUCCAACGCCUCCUUCGUCAUUUGCUCCGCCAACAAGCACUUCUGGCGCCGCCACUCCUCCACCUCUGCCGUGGUAGCCGACCUCAAGAACCCGCCCAGCGACACCGAUGCCUCAAACCGGUUCAAGCUCCAGCCCGAGGUCGCCCCAGGAAAGGUGGCACUCUCCUCCGUCCAAGACGGUCUCUUCCUCAAGCGCUUCAACACCCAGUACCGCGCGUUGCUCGAGGAGCCCAAUGAGAUCUUUGCCAUGGUAGAAGUGGUGGAGUCGUCCUACUACGUUGUCAACAUGCCCGAGUACGUGGGUUUCAAAGGUAGCAAUGCCAAAUACCUCACGUGCUUGGUCGAUUACCCUGUCAUACUGGAUCCGUUCGCGCUCACAGAAGAAUCUGCUGACGUUCGUCUUACCACCCACCAGGUACUGCUGUUUUCGUCUUUCAUCUGCUUGCUUCCAUUCGCAGCCCCCUUACCAGGUGGAGUAUCUCCUGAACGGCAAGAUAGCUCUUCGAUCCAACCAAGCCGCCUCCUGGACUUCAAACAAUUACUGGAGGGCGUCCCAGUGGAUUACACCGGACGGUGACACUCCCGACCACCCUGAAUGCCAGUUCGAUCCAGUCCGAGUGAACAGCACCACAGUUGCUCUCAAGAGUGCCAAUGGCCUCUACUGCAAGCGUGGAAGCCCGUCCUUCACCAACGCUCCGGACGCGAUCUUUGCUGAGGCAUCCGACUACGAGGAAACGUCAAGCCACCUCGUGGUCGAAGAAGCUGUGAUGAGCAGGCAAAUCUUUAACGUGACUUACCUGCUAGAUCUGGCGAGUGCAAGCGAGGAGGAGCCAAUCGGUGUCGCCUAUGGAUCUGCCACGAACAAGGGCAGUGAGCCUGCAGAGAUGGAGAUCAGCGUGAGCAAGACCACCACAGUGAGCAACACCAGGUCCUUCCACAACUCGUUCACCUUCUCCCAGAGCAUCACGCAGACUUUGACGCUCGGUGUGCCGUUCUUUGCCGACGAGAGCACCGAGAUCCAGAUCGGAGCCGAGCAAGAGUUUGGAAAC